RNAcentral lists this long non-coding RNA (298 nucleotides) under Gossypium barbadense (sea-island cotton). RNAcentral's name for it is "long non-coding RNA (GBAR_LNC011355)". The record is from RNAcentral. Lineage: Eukaryota; Viridiplantae; Streptophyta; Magnoliopsida; Malvales; Malvaceae.
CCUGUCUCACGAGAACCUGAAUAUCUCUUAACAUACUGUCCGCAUGAUUGUUUCGUUACUUUCCUAUGAAAGUAGAUUCACCAAGGUUUGUUUACAUAAUUUAUUCACUAUUUAAUUCCAUUCCUACUAUUUUUAGUGAUUUUCCAAAUCUACAUCACUGCUGCUGUCAGCAUCUGCCUUUAAGGUAGACUUUACCUAUUUCAUGGUUUCCAUGAUUCAACUAGCCCUUUUUGCAUAAAUAGCACAAUUUAUGAAAGUGAUUAACCAUCCCCGUGGCCAAUCCUUGUCAAGCAUAUCC